Molecule: long non-coding RNA, 1329 nt
Organism: Bombus terrestris (buff-tailed bumblebee)
Lineage: Eukaryota; Metazoa; Arthropoda; Insecta; Hymenoptera; Apidae
Exons: 3
Source: RefSeq, a predicted model, not a curated record
GACGUAGAAGUCGCUGCUGAGAUUUUUGGCAGCGGCGAUGCGGUUCCGAUUGCCGCCAGGCAGCACAAUACUCCCAACGCUAUCACCAACUUCAUUUUUCUGGAAAACGAAAAAAAACUAAUUGAGGAAAGUAAUUAAGAAGAAAAUAUCAGAUUAAUCGAUUAAUGAAAGUAGAGAUUUUACAAUAGAUUACUGUCGUUACAAUUCUAUUUAUUCUCGUAAGAAUGCAAGCAUCGUUGCAUAAUAUACGAAGAUGUUGUUAACUGAAUUACGAGAAUAAGGGAAGAACGUAACCACGAGAAACACAAUUUUCCCAGGACCAACAAAGAGUUUCAUUUGACACUGGAGUUAUUCUGACCUUCGACUGGCGACAUCAAGAUUCCCAUGCAGUCGUAUUCUCACGGCUAACGAGAAAUCAAAAGGAUAAGGGAAGAAACCAGGAAAUUCACGACUAAUUCUCUUAAUGUGAAAAUGAAGAAAGUAAACAGGGAAAUAAAAAUACAAGGUCACGAAAAAUUCAUGACUGAUGUUUGAUAUUCGAAGAAACGCAUCGAUCUUUCUUCGAGGAUAAAGAAAGAGAGAAGAAAAAUAAGAAGAAACGAGGUGCUCGUAUACGUAUAAUAUAAUUCGACGUUCCAUUAUCUUUCUCCAAAAAGAAAUGAGAGAAAAGAGGAACACGAAAUUCACGAGAAAUUCAUCAUUAAAAAGUGCAUCCAUUUGUUUCAAACAGAAAGAAAGGAAAAGAGGAAAACUGAGAGAACGAAUACCACCAAAAAUUUGCUUACUAUUUAUGUACGUGAUAGAUAUGCAAGAUCAAGCUUUCAUUGGAAGUUUACACGAAUGUUCUAGUUAUUAUUUAUAGCUAUUUUAGUUAUUCAUGAUUGCGGAUAAUGCAGUCCCUCUUAUAUUAAUCCAUAGGAAGUAUCCUUUCUUUACAUUAGAUAUCUUGGGUGCAAAUAAGCUGUCGAUAUCAAUCUUCAUUUUGUAUAAUUGUUUGUCAUUGUUCUACUAACUUUAUCAAUAUAUAUUUUAGAGAAAUCCCUAUCAUAAUGAAUCUCAUUCAAGAAUUCAAAGAAAAUUCCCCAUUUAAAAAAAAAAGCCCAGAGGAACCAUGCACUGCUUAUUAGAUAAUAAUCUAAUACCGAACCAAACUCCUGUUAUAUGUACUUCUAAAAUCGAAGUAACUUCCUCAUCUUCGUCCCUAAAUCGCGUUAGCGCAAUGGAUCGUAUUCGAGUUCUGGUUGACAAAAUGUGAAAGAUAUAAUAAAUAAGCUAUAGGUGUUUACGCGUUUAUGAAAAACAUUAAUCUAUAAAAAUGUACAAAAUGCA